GAUGGAAGAACGCAGCGAAAUGCGAUACGUAGUGUGAAUUGCAGAAUUCAGUGAAUCACCGAAUCUUUGAACGCACAUUGCACCUCUCGGUAUUCCGGGAGGUAUGCCUGUUCGAGCGUCAUUUGUACCCUCAAGCUCUGCUUGGUGUUGGGUGUUUGUUCCGCCUCUGUGUGUGAACUCGCCUCAAAACAAUUGGCAGCCGGCGUACUUGUUUCGGAGCGCAGCACAUUUUGCGAUCCAGAUCAACGUACAGCGGCAUCCAAGAAGCCUUAUUUAACGCUCUUGACCUCGGAUCAGGUAGGGAUACCCGCUGAACUUAAGCAUAUCAAUAAGCGGAGGA
This 340-nucleotide unclassified non-coding RNA is filed under the name soil metagenome. Its description in RNAcentral is "partial contains 5.8S ribosomal RNA, internal transcribed spacer 2, and large subunit ribosomal RNA". The stretch from base 5 to 121 matches the Rfam family "5.8S ribosomal RNA", at positions 38 to 154 of the family's 154-position model. The record is from RNAcentral.